CCGAUGUGAAAUCCCUGAGCUUAACUUAGGAAUUGCAUUCGAUACUGGAAAGCUAGAGUAUGGGAGAGGAUGGUAGAAUUCCAGGUGUAGCGGUGAAAUGCGUAGAGAUCUGGAGGAAUACCGAUGGCGAAGGCAGCCAUCUGGCCUAAUACUGACGCUGAGGUACGAAAGCAUGGGGAGCAAACAGGAUUAGAUACCCUGGUAGUCCAUGCCGUAAACGAUGUCUACUAGCCGUUGGGGCCUUUGAGGCUUUAGUGGCGCAGCUAACGCGAUAAGUAGACCGCCUGGGGAGUACGGUCGCAAGACUAAAACUCAAAUGAAUUGACGGGGGCCCGCACAAGCGGUGGAGCAUGUGGUUUAAUUCGAUGCAACGCGAAGAACCUUACCUGGCCUUGACAUACUAAGAACUUUCCAGAGAUGGAUUGGUGCCUUCGGGAACUUAGAUACAGGUGCUGCAUGGCUGUCGUCAGCUCGUGUCGUGAGAUGUUGGGUUAAGUCCCGCAACGAGCGCAACCCUUUUCCUUAUUUGCCAGCGGGUCAUGCCGGGAACUUUAAGGAUACUGCCAGUGACAAACUGGAGGAAGGCGGGGACGACGUCAAGUCAUCAUGGCCCUUACGGCCAGGGCUACACACGUGCUACAAUGGUCGGUACAAAGGGUUGCUACCUCGCGAGAGGAUGCUAAUCUCAAAAAGCCGAUCGUAGUCCGGAUCGCAGUCUGCAACUCGACUGCGUGAAGUCGGAAUCGGCUAGUAAUCGC
Molecule: ribosomal RNA, 758 nt
Filed under: uncultured bacterium
Lineage: Bacteria
Description: bacterial SSU rRNA
Rfam family: Bacterial small subunit ribosomal RNA
Source: RNAcentral